Molecule: long non-coding RNA, 7596 nt
Organism: Symphalangus syndactylus (siamang)
Lineage: Eukaryota; Metazoa; Chordata; Mammalia; Primates; Hylobatidae
Source: RefSeq, a predicted model, not a curated record
AAUGGAUGUUUUCUUUUAAAAAUGGUUUAUUGAAGUAUGUACCUAUCUUAAGUGUACAGCAUGAUGAUGUGUAUGCCCAUGUAACCAUCACCUAGAAGAUUGGACCCAACUAGGAUCUCCCUUGGAGUGGAUCAGACUGAUGAUCUCCACCAUCCAAAUGGUUCCUGAAUAAAAAAGAAGAAGGUGUCACCUACUUCAAUAUGACGUCUUAAAGACACUGUGUUAUUUCAGCGAUAAUGCCCCUGUCCAUCAAUCCAACUGGUGUUUUCAUUCCUCAUCUUACUUUGUCUUAAGUGCAUUCAGCUGAUGCUUUAUUCUAGAGAUACUGUCCUUUUCACUUUUAUGUGGCCAUCUUUACCCUGUUUUGUCAUAAAACUCUUUUAAAAAACCAACUUUUAAAAUGUUAAAUUGUGGCAAAAUACAAAAAAUUGACUGGCUUAACCCUUGGUAAGUGUCCAGUUCAGUAAAUACGCACAUUAUCGUGCAACCAUCACCACCAUCCAUCUCCAGAACGUUUUUCUCUUUGCAAAAUUGAAACUCUGUAAACAUUGAAAACAACUCUUUCUAUUCUCUUCCCAUCAGCUCCUUGCGACCACCACACUGCUUUCCCUCUCUAUAAAUAUUUCUACACCAGGAACCUCCUGUGACUGGAUCACACAAUAUUUAUCCUUUCAUGCCUGACUUUUACUUAGUAUAGUGCCCUCAAGGUCCAUCCAUGUGAUACCAUGUAUUAGAACUUCCUCUCUUCUAAGGGUGACUAAUAUUCCAUUGUAUGUAUAGAGCACAUUCUGUUUAUCUGUUCAUCCGUCGAUGGAUACGUGGGCUGCUUCCCGCUUUGGGCUGUUGGAUGCCUUAAUACUCUUGCUCCCACUGCUCAAUAUCAUUUUAUUUAUUUUUAUUUAUUUUAUUUUAUUUACUUCUUUAUUUUUUGAGACAGAGUCUCGCUCUGUCGCCCAGGCUGAAGUGCAAUGGUGUGAUCUCAGCUCACUGCAAGCUCUGCCUCCCGGGUUCAGGCCAUUCUCCUGCCUCAGCCUCCCGAGUAGCUGGGACUACAGGCGCCCGCCACCAUGCCUGGCUAAUUUUUUUUGUAGUUUUAGUAGAGACGGGGUUUCACCGUGUUAGUCAGGAUGGUCUCGAUCUCCUGACCUCAUGAUCCGCCCGUCUCGGCCUCCCAAAGUGCUGGGAUUACAGGCAUGAGCCACUGCGCCCGGCCUCAGUAUCAUUUUAAAAAGAGCAAAACUGUCAUGUGCAGCCAACAUGGAGGGAACUGGAAGAAAUUGUGUUAAGUGAAAUAAGCUCAGUCCAGUAAAACAAUGGCACCAAUAGUCUUAAUACACAGAAUAGACCAUUGAACUACUGCACACAUGCACUUGCUAAAUAUUACAAUAUUUUGACUCCCAUUUUCCCACCUCUCACAUUCUUUCUCUAGUUACACUGUAGUAUCCGUUACACUUGAUAAUCCCAGCUUCCCUGUAUGUGCUUCUCCACCAGUGCGCUCUGCCUCAAUGCAUGACACCAACACAUGCCUACUAUUCUUUGCCUGAAACCUCAGGCAUAUGUAUGUGCGUUCUUCCUCAUCCAUGCCUAAUAUAUGGUUCUCAGCUGGGGUAAACUGUGCCCACCUCAAGGGAAAAUUAACAGUGACUGCAGACAUUUUGAGUUAUUACACUUGAGUAUGCUACUGACUCCAGUGGGCAGGGGCCAGGGACACAGCUAAACAUCCUACAAUGCACAGCACAGCCCUCUUCCCUCUGAAAAUGUAUUAUGUGGCCCACAUGUCCAUAGUGUAAUAGAUCGAAACACUGCCAUCUGGCAAAGACCUUCUCCUCGACCAGACUUGACUUAGGCUUCCCUGAGCCCUCUUCCUGACUAGGCCUGGACUUUGGACAUCUGUGUCCAUCCUGGCUGCACCCAGUUUCAACAAGGGUAAUGAGAAUCCCCCCAUCCUUGAUACCUGAUCCGGAUUCUCAUCUUCCACUCUUAAUGUCUAAGUCUUUGGCCUGCCUUUAGCAAGGAUUCUGCUCUUGAUACCUAAUCAAGUUGCUCUUUGUAAUUUCCCACCCACUGACCGCCUUACUCUGAUAAUUGUCUACAAAAAACCAACUAUCAUUGCUAUAUUCAGAGUUGAGUUGGGUCUCUGUCCCCUGUUGCAAUUGUGUUGAAUAUUCUUCCUCACCAUUUACCCAAGCGUCAGAAUACUUUUUCUUUUACAUCUAACAAUCUCACAUUCACGCUCAGCAUCUAAGGAUAAAUGUUUAUUUUUUCACCGAAAUUCCUUCAAUAAUCAGUCCCCUCUAACCAUCCUGCAUGAUCACUUAAAUCUGCCUUAGCUUCUGUGGGAUCUUAUGUCUCUCUAUGUCGCUACAAUGCCCCGGUAAUCACAUUCAUUUGCAUUAUGUUUAAUUGUCUGGCUUAAUCCGUCUCUCUGAGUAGAAGUUUUGUCAAAACACCACACUAUCGGCACCUGUAGUCCCAGCUACUUGGGAGGCUGAGGCAGGAGAAUGCUGUGAAUCCGGGAGGCGGAGCUUGCAGUGAGCUGAGAUCGUGCCACUGCACUCCAGCCUGGGUGACGGAGCGAAACUCCGUCUCAAAAACAAACAAAAAAAAACCCCACACUAUCCACCAAAGCAUACCCAAGCGCAGGGCAUAAAGAAGGCACUCCAUCAGUAUCUUCACCCCAUCCCUUCCUCAGUUUCAGGUCCUACUUCCUUACCUGACUUUGGGUAAGAAAGUAUAAUGACAUCUUCAUCCCACAACACAACUUCAUCCUGCAAACAUCUCAGGUCUGUAAAAUUAUUGCUGGGAAAAGGAAUCCCUUCAAUCCAGAUAGAUUCACCAGCCAUCUAAAAAAACACCACAGGCUUCCCAGGUUCGUAUUUGUUGUACCUGUGCAAUCUUAGAGGCACCACUUUUCUUGUUCUGUGACAGGUUAAGAUGCAAAGGAUGGAGAGAUUGGGACAGAGCAGCCCAAGUUCAUUUUGAUACAGCUUCGAUGACUGGAGGAUUACCGGGCUUUUUGGUCUGGUGCUGAUAGGAUUAACGACAUGGACACAUGUGGAGUAGUUUUAAGAGUGAAAAGUUUAAUAGGCAAGUAAGAAGGAAGAAAGAAGAGAACAGCUCCCCCGUACUGAGACAUGGGAAAGGAACAGAGAUAGACCCUGUGCACAACAGAAAGACAGUCCGUUAUAUCGGGAGGCUGUAGGAGGCGGUAUCUGGUUUGCAUAAGGCCCAAAGGAUUGGUUUGACCAGGUGUAUUAUUCAUGUAGCCUGGGAGAAAACAGGCCCUCCCACCAUAGCCUUUUAAUAUGCAAAUAUGGGUUGCCAUGAUGGUUUGAACACAUGGUGUUACUUGGAGGUGGCCAUCACACUUUGCACAGGUGGUAACAAGGAGAAGACGGUGGGAAUCACCAUAUUGAGUGGACUCAGUUUCUAGUGGCCAGAUUCGCACAUCAAAGCUUGUCAGCCCGGCCCUUGAAGCCGCCUUUUUGGUUAGAAAGAGAUUGUUUGGGGAUCAUUUCUUAUUACAGGAAAAUCUCCACCAAGAACCUUUACCCUUACUGUAUGCCUAAAAUGAUUUCUUAAUAACUCCUGUAAUAUCCUCCCCUCAAAGAGAAUUAAACCUAACUGCCGUUAGGGGGUGUUAGAUGAUGAUUCUUUCUGGCUACUGUCUGCUGAAAAGGGGCGUGUGGUGGGGGGGACAGCAGUUGGGCCUUCUCCUGUGGUUGAUCUAAGGUUCUCAGAAGAAUGGCAUGUCUAUGUGUGGCUCUGCUCACAGCACCAUUUAAAGUUUAAUUGAUUCUAUUAAACUUUAUUUAAUGUUUUAUUAAAUAAAACAUUUAAUAAAAUAUUAAAAUAGUAAAUUUUAAUUUAAGGUGAAAAAUAUAAAUUUUACAAGAAGAUUUAAAAUGUAGGGUUAGGAUACAAUUAUUAAAAUUACCACCGUUAGUGGGGGGCCCUAUUAGACCAUAACUGACAGUAGAGUUUGACACCUUUUAGUUACACCAAUGGAUUGCAAUACUGGCUUGCCUCCACUAGAUGGCGGUGUACAUUACCAGAAACGUUAAUAUAGAAGUAACUUUUUCCUAGAGAAAAGCGGACAUUUCCCCCUUAAUCUGCCGUUAGAGAAUAACUUUAGGCCUAGGCCAUUUUUACAACUUGCAGUAUGAUUGGGAGAAAUACAUUAUUGGGUGGCUAAAAUAACUUCAGCGUUAAUUUUGACAGUUCCUUUCCAUUAUUAAAAUCUUUCAUGACUUUUAUACACCUUCUUACAACAUCUUCAAACUUUUUGGUUUGUCCUAAACAUCCUUUGUUUAAACAACCAGUUAUUUCCCUUUAGUACAAGAAUUUACCAUACAAAAUCCUUCCUUAUAUAAAAUCUCUUCCUUUAUACCCUUUUCAUAGUGUGUAUCAUAUUACCAACCUUUAGUAAAGUCUUUUCAAACUUAAUGAUAGUAUAACUUUCAUGCUUCUUAUCCAUAACUAUUAGUCCUGCUAUAAGCAAAACAACCUUGACUAAAUUUUUCCUGCAAUUAUUAAUCCUGUUAUAAGGAUGAUAAUCAGGCAAAAUAUUACAGCAAUUAGAAUUUUACAACCAGAAUUCCACAUUGUGGGUGCCACAGUGUUCAGUUCUAUUGCAAAUAGUAGCUUGACUAGAACAAUUUUUGCAAGAGUGGCAUAGUAAAUAAUUUUCAUUUAAAACUUUGCUUGCCAAGAUAUAACAUGUCCCUUUGGGGAUUUACAAAGUUACAAAUCUGAUUCUAUGAAUAAUUAAAUCUGUCUGCAAAUAUGCAUUAAAAAGAAGUUCUAAUAUUUGGCGGUGAACUUUGAGAGGAAAGUUUGGAAAAAAUAAAAAGUAUGUGAUAAGGUAGCAGUGGGACUAAGAUUGUAGCCCUCACUCAGUUACUUAUCUUUUAUGAUUUUCAGCUUAAGAUCUUCUUUUGUUUUUUUGUUUUUUUUUUUUUGAGAUGGAGUCUUGUUCUGUCACCCAGCCUGGAGUGCAGUGGCCUGAUCUCGGCUCACUGCAACCUCCGCCUCCCGGGUUCAAGCGAUUCUCCUGCCUCAGCCUCCUGGGUAGCUGGGACUACAGGUGCCCACCACCACGCCUGGCUAAUUUGAAUUAGUUUUUGUAUUUUUAGUAGAGACAGGGUUUCACCAUGUUACCCAGGCUGGUCUCGAUCUCCUAACCUCCUAAUCCGCCCGCCUCGGCCUCCCAAAGUGCUGGGAUUACAGGUAUGAGCCACGGCGCCUGGCCAAGAUCUUCUAUUUCUUCACACUGAUAUUGAGGACAUUCCUCCGGACUGUCAGGGGUGGCUUCCUCAGCUUUGCAGGCUUUGGCUUGAUUGUGAUGUAUUCACAAGUUGAUUCCUGUAACUUUUACUGCCCAAGGGGGUUGAGAGAACAAGUGUAGGGCCCUUCCUAGCUUGGCUUAGGGAAGGUGACAGAGGUGAGGGUUUUACUAACACCAAAUUUCUUCAGUUAAAUAGAGGUGACUCCUGCUGGAAGUGAGCUAGAGAGGUUACAUGCUUAACCAAUUUAGAGGUUUCCUGCCUGAAAGCAAUUUCUGAGCACAUGGAUAAGUUUUAUCCUUUCCCAAGUGAAAAGCUUGGUGAAGGAUUUUAAGAACUUUUCAUUGGCUGGAGGCUGGCAAAUAGAGUUUGCCAUCCUGACUGUAGCCAUCUUGGGGGCUGAAAAGUAUGCCCUAGAGAAGUAGCCUAUUCUAUUUUUGCAGGGGAAUACUGAGGUUUAAUUUCUCUUACAGAGCCCUUUUAGAUUAGAAGGGGCUUGAAGUGUGUUAAUACCUUGAAACUUUCAUGCCUUUGACUUAGCUGCCUGAUCAGCUAAUUUAUUUCCUUCGGCUACCUUGUUUCCUUUCAAUGUUCCUUAAAAUGCAUCCCUGCUGUUUUUUCGUGGAAGAAAAACUGAAGAUAAUAACCUGCUAAUUUCCUGGCGAUAUUUUAUAGGAGAUCCAUUAGUGGUAAGAAAAUGUCUUUCCUUUUAAACGGCCCCAGCAUGAGCAUGGAGAGCUAUGAAAGCAUACUUGGAGUUAGUGUAAAUGUUAGCUGCCUUUCCCUUGCUUAAUUUAGGUGCUCUUGUAAGAGCUAUUAGCUCAGCUAAUUGAGCAUUUGUGCCUGGCGAGAGUGACUAUUGCUUAUCCUGCCUUAUGUACUUCUUGCUUUACCGGCUGUCAGCUAAGAGCUCCCCCUAGAGGACAGUGAUUCUGCUACAUUAUGUGGGCUGUAAACAGUUAAAUUAUUUCCUAGGAUUAACUUGGAGGCUUUUCUGACUAGUAGAGCUGUCAUGACAAUGGCUUGCAAGCAUGUGUCAGCUAAGGUUGAGAAAAAGAUUGGAUUAGCCUUUUUCCUGAGAUGCCCCUUACGGUCGUGCUCUGGGGAGAGGGGAGGUCUGGAUUAGAGAGGAGAAGAGAGAGAGUGACUAGCUCUAGUGUUUGGAAGGAGGUUUACUUUCCUUCCUUUAAUUUCCAGAAUCAUCCAGAGCUCCUGUGCUGUAAUGGCAGUUUGAACCGCUGGAGCCAAGAUUUGAGCCCCGGGACCCAUCAGUCCUGCUGGACCAUACGCGAGACUGAUCCUGAACCCAGUGACCUCUGCCUCUGGGGGCAAUUCCAUCUCCAGUGGUUUUUGCCACAGGCUGACAGGGUCAAGCUUGCUUCGUCUUGCUGCCUGGGCAAUCCUUAAAAUGCCCUGGCAUGCCACAUCAAUAGCAACUAGCAGAUGCACCUUGGGGAUUCUGGACGUUGCAAGCCUGCAAAGCUGCUGCUAGAGCCUCUGUCCUUCUCCUGAGCUUGCUGUCUUUCUUUUGGGCCUCCUCCUCCUGGUCCAUAUUAUUAAAGACCGAAGUGGCCACUGUCAGGUGGUUCUCUAAGGUGCUGUCUGGUCCUGUACCUUGAUUUUGAUUUGUGGUUUCCUUCUACUAUCAGGAGCUGCCUUGUGUAAUAAACGUGUCCUUCAGGAUGAGCUGCUCCUCAACUGAAUUAGGGGAUAUGGAGGUGUACUCUAUUAGUGCCUCUCUUAGCCUUUCCAUAAAGGCUACAGGAUUCUUAUCUGGUCCAUUAUAGACAGUUUAGAGUUUGAUACCCAACCUUGUUUUAACCUGAAUUGACUCUCCCUUAGCUUGAGAGAGCCAGACAGACUCCAUCUUGGCUCCUUCACUUACAGCCCCUUACCCACCCCCUUCCUCAAGGACUUAACUUGUGCAAGCAGUCUCCCAGCACAUCCAAGGAUGCAAUUAACUGAUAAGAUACUGUGGCAAGCUGUAUCCACAGUUCCUAGGAAUUUGCCCAGUUGAUAGCACCCAGAGCCCCGGCGUUUGUGUCCGGUUGAUAACACCCAAAGCCCCACAUCUAUCACCUUGUGGUGGAUUUAAAGCCCCUGUACCUGAAACUGUUUGCUUUCCCAUAACCAUUUAUCCUUUUAACUUUUUGCCUGCUUUACUUCUGUAAGAUUGUUUUAACUAGACUUCCCCCACUCCCCUUUCUAAACCAAAGUAUAAAAGAAAAUCUAACCCCUUCUUCAGGGCCGAGAGAAUUUUGAGCACUAGCCAUCUCUCGGCCGCUGGCUAAUAAAGGACUCCUGAAUUCGU